Molecule: ribosomal RNA, 756 nt
Filed under: Escherichia coli
Lineage: Bacteria; Pseudomonadati; Pseudomonadota; Gammaproteobacteria; Enterobacterales; Enterobacteriaceae
Description: partial 23S ribosomal RNA
Rfam family: Bacterial large subunit ribosomal RNA
Source: RNAcentral
AUGGAGCCGACCUUGAAAUACCACCCUUUAAUGUUUGAUGUUCUAACGUUGACCCGUAAUCCGGGUUGCGGACAGUGUCUGGUGGGUAGUUUGACUGGGGCGGUCUCCUCCUAAAGAGUAACGGAGGAGCACGAAGGUUGGCUAAUCCUGGUCGGACAUCAGGAGGUUAGUGCAAUGGCAUAAGCCAGCUUGACUGCGAGCGUGACGGCGCGAGCAGGUGCGAAAGCAGGUCAUAGUGAUCCGGUGGUUCUGAAUGGAAGGGCCAUCGCUCAACGGAUAAAAGGUACUCCGGGGAUAACAGGCUGAUACCGCCCAAGAGUUCAUAUCGACGGCGGUGUUUGGCACCUCGAUGUCGGCUCAUCACAUCCUGGGGCUGAAGUAGGUCCCAAGGGUAUGGCUGUUCGCCAUUUAAAGUGGUACGCGAGCUGGGUUUAGAACGUCGUGAGACAGUUCGGUCCCUAUCUGCCGUGGGCGCUGGAGAACUGAGGGGGGCUGCUCCUAGUACGAGAGGACCGGAGUGGACGCAUCACUGGUGUUCGGGUUGUCAUGCCAAUGGCACUGCCCGGUAGCUAAAUGCGGAAGAGAUAAGUGCUGAAAGCAUCUAAGCACGAAACUUGCCCCGAGAUGAGUUCUCCCUGACCCUUUAAGGGUCCUGAAGGAACGUUGAAGACGACGACGUUGAUAGGCCGGGUGUGUAAGCGCAGCGAUGCGUUGAGCUAACCGGUACUAAUGAACCGUGAGGCUUAACCUUACAAC